AACGAACGCUGGCGGCAUGCCUAACACAUGCAAGUCGAACGAGACCUUCGGGUAUUUGUGCGCACGGGUGCGGCAGGCGUGGGGAGCUGCCCUUGUGUUCGGUCUAACUCCCCGAGGGGGACGCUAAUACCGAAUGAUUUCUUAGACCCCAUGAUUUCUUGCAUCAGGAUGGGCCCGUGUUUGAUUAGCGAGUUGGUCACGUAAAGGCCUACCAAGGCGGUGUUCCAUAGCUGGUCUGAGAGGAUGACCAGACACCCUGGGACUGCGGCACGGCCCAGACUCCGGCGGUAGGCGGCAGUGUGGACUAGUGGACACGGGGCGAAAGCGUAGUCCUGCAGUGCCGCGUAAGUGGUGAAGGGCUUAGGAUUGUAAUGCGCUUUGACCCGGGAUGAUAAUGACGGUACCGGGAAAAUAAGCACCGGCUAACUCCGU
Molecule: ribosomal RNA, 432 nt
Filed under: uncultured bacterium
Lineage: Bacteria
Description: partial 16S ribosomal RNA
Rfam family: Bacterial small subunit ribosomal RNA
Source: RNAcentral